CCAGUUCUUAUUUGCAUACCACCCUCAUCGUUUCAAGGGCCCCCUUAUGCAAAUACACGCUCGGUUCUUCCGAGGAGGCGGGGCCUGCAUGUAAAUGAGGGGGCUUGAGGUGGGGCUCACACCAAGAGGAAACCGGUUCUGGGAAUCCCUUUGCAGCACCGCGCUUGUUUUGGUUGUUGCGCGGGGUUGUUGUUGGUAGUGGUGGCGGUGUGUGUGUGUAUUUACACUUAAAAAAUAACUGCGCAGUAUCCUUUCCUGGGAAGUUGGUUUGCCGCCGCUGCCUGGAUAUUAGCACAGAGAUAGCGCCAGGCCGGGCUUCUAAGAAUUCGCGCUUGUGGCUAUCCAAGACUCCGUCUCGAAAGGUGCUUGUCGGACUCCUUCACCGGAGUCCUCCAGGCGACUGGCGGCCUUCACUGGAAAGCUGAGGCCAGGGCCCUGGAAAUAUCUGGUAGCCAGGGAGGGGGAACCCCUACCAUCAACGCCACGGGUGUGCAUUGGUCAAAGGCAGCAUUGCCUGGACAUUACAGAUGGCGGAUCUUGUCAACACCUGCAGGGCACGGGUGCCCCAUCUGCCAAGGCUGCUCCCACACUCCCUACAC
RNAcentral lists this long non-coding RNA (599 nucleotides) under Homo sapiens (human). RNAcentral's name for it is "HSALNT0282512". The record is from RNAcentral. Lineage: Eukaryota; Metazoa; Chordata; Mammalia; Primates; Hominidae.